UAAAGAGUCAAGUUCCCUGCGGGUUGUGCC
This 30-nucleotide non-coding RNA is filed under the name Mus musculus (house mouse). The record is from RNAcentral. Lineage: Eukaryota; Metazoa; Chordata; Mammalia; Rodentia; Muridae.